Molecule: ribosomal RNA, 1321 nt
Filed under: metagenome
Description: bacterial LSU rRNA
Rfam family: Bacterial large subunit ribosomal RNA
Source: RNAcentral
GAUGGGCAGGUUCACGCCGAAGCUGGUGGAUAGGGUUCCUAGAAAAGCUCCAGGGUUUAAGGCAAGUCCCGUACCAAAACUGACACAGGUGGGCGAGGCGAAUAGCCUCAGGCGCUCGAGAGAACGGUCGUGAAGGAACUCAAUUUAACCCCGUAAGUUCGCGAUAAGGGGGGCCUCCUCCGCAAGGAGAGGCCGCAGAGAAAAGGGUCUGGGAACUGUUUAUCAAAAACACAGCUCUGUGCUAACUCGGAAGAGGAUGUAUACAGAGUGACGCUUGCUCAAUGCUGGAAUGUCACGGGAGCGGGUCAGCUCACGCGAAGCUCGCGACCUAAGCACCAGUGAAUAGCGGCCGUAACUAUGACGGUCCUAAGGUAGCGAAGUUCCUUGUCGGGUAAGUUCCGACGCGCAUGAAUAGCGUAAUCACUGGACUCCUGUCUCCACGACCGACUCGGUGAAAUAGUAGUGGCGGUGGAGAUGCCGUCUACCCGCAGCAAGACGGAAAGACCCCGUGGACCUUUACUAUACAUUGUCAUUGGUCACGAGCAUACACUGCGUAGGAUAAGUGGGAGGCUUCGAAGUCGGGGUUUCGGCCCUGAUGGAGCCAUUGGUGAAAUACCACUCUGUGCACGUUUGUGGCCUAACUUCGGUUCCCGUGAAUCCGGGCGAAGGACCGUGGCUGUCGGGUAGUUUGACUGGGGCGGUCUCCUCCAAAAAGGUAACGGAGGAGUGCAAAGUUCGGCUCAGCACGGAUGGAAACCGUGUGUCGAGUGUAAGAGCACAAGCCGGAUUUACUGCGAGACCGACGGGUCGAGCAGUCUCGAAAGAGGGCUCUAAUGAUCCUGCGAUCCCGUGUGGAAGGGUCGUAGCUCAUCGGAUAAAAGGUACCCCGGGGAUAACAGGCUGAUCGCGCCCGAGCGUCCAUAGCGGCGGCGCGGUUUGGCACCUCGAUGUCGGCUCAUCACAUCCUGGGACUGAAGGCGGCCCCAAGGGUUCGGCUGUUCGCCGAUUAAAGUGGUACGCGAGCUGGGUUCAGACCGGCGUGAGCCAGGUCGGUCCCUAUCUGCUGUGGGCGUUGCAAGCUUGAGAGGAGUCAACCUUAGUACGAGAGGAUUGGGUUGGACCAACCCCUGGUGAUCCAGUUGGACUGCUAAGUCCACAGCUGGGUAGCUACGUUGGGCAGGGAUAACCGCUGAAAGCAUCUAAGCGGGAAGCCCCCCUCAAGAUGAGGCUUGCUAGUCGAAAGACGUAAGACCCCUGGUAGACCACCAGGUUGAUCGGCCGCAAAUGUAAAAGCUGGAAGGCUUUCAGUUGAGCGGUACGA